UACGAAGGGGGCUAGCGUUGCUCGGAUUUACUGGGCGUAAAGGGUGCGUAGGCGGACCGUUUAGUUGGGGGUGAAAGCCCGGGGCUCAACCUCGGAAUUGCCUUCAAUACUGGCGGUCUUGAGUAUGGAAGAGGUAAGUGGAACUCCGAGUGUAGAGGUGAAAUUCGUAGAUAUUCGGAAGAACACCGGUGGCGAAGGCGACUUACUGGUCCAUUACUGACGCUGAGGCACGAAAGCGUGGGGAGCAAACAGG
This 253-nucleotide ribosomal RNA is filed under the name uncultured bacterium. Its description in RNAcentral is "partial 16S ribosomal RNA". It matches the Rfam family "Bacterial small subunit ribosomal RNA", at positions 524 to 776 of the family's 1533-position model. The record is from RNAcentral.